RNAcentral lists this ribosomal RNA (497 nucleotides) under uncultured bacterium. Its description in RNAcentral is "partial 16S ribosomal RNA". It matches the Rfam family "Bacterial small subunit ribosomal RNA", at positions 28 to 507 of the family's 1533-position model. The record is from RNAcentral.
GAUGAACGCUGGCGGCGUGCCUAAUACAUGCAAGUCGAGCGAACGGACGAGAAGCUUGCUUCACUGAUGUUAGCGGCGGACGGGUGAGUAACACGUGGAUAGCCUACCUAUAAGACGGGGAUAACUUCGGGAAACGGGAGCUAAUACCGCAUGAUAAUUUGAACCACAUGGUUCAAAAGUGAAAGACGGUCUUGCAUUAACUUAUAGAGAGAUCCGGGCGUAAUUAGCUAGUGGGUAAGGAAAGGCUUUACAAAGCCAACGAACCUUAGCCGACCUGAGAGGGGGACGGCCAAAAUGGGAACUGGGCAACGCUCCAGACUCCUAGGGGGGCAACAGGAAGGGAAUUUUCGCAAAUGGGCGAAAGCCUGACGGAGCAACGCGGGGUGAGUGAUGAAGGUUUUCGGAUCGUAAACCCCUGUUAUAAGGGAAGAACAUAUGUGUAAGUAACUGUGCACAUAUUGACGGUAACUAACCAGAAAGCCACGGCUAACUACGUG